GAUGAACGCUGGCGGCGUGCCUAAUACAUGCAAGUCGAGCGAACAGACGAGGAGCUUGCUCCUCUGACGUUAGCGGCGGACGGGUGAGUAACACGUGGAUAACCUACCUAUAAGACUGGGAUGACUUCGGGAAACCGGAGCUAAUACCGGAUAAUAUAUUGAACCGCAUGGUUCAAUAGUGAAAGACGGUUUUGCUGUCACUUAUAGAUGGAUCCGCGCCGCAUUAGCUAGUUGGUAAGGUAACGGCUUACCAAGGCAACGAUGCGUAGCCGACCUGAGAGGGUGAUCGGCCACCCUGGAACUGAGACACGGUCCAGACUCCUACGGGAGGCAGCAGUAGGGAAUCUUCCGCAAUGGGCGAAAGCCUGACGGAGCAACGCCGCGUGAGUGAUGAAGGUCUUCGGAUCGUAAAACUCUGUUAUUAGGGAAGAACAAAUGUGUAAGUAACUAUGCACGUCUUGACGGUACCUGAUCAGAAAGCCACGGCUAACUACGUG
RNAcentral lists this ribosomal RNA (497 nucleotides) under uncultured bacterium. RNAcentral's name for it is "partial 16S ribosomal RNA". It matches the Rfam family "Bacterial small subunit ribosomal RNA", at positions 28 to 507 of the family's 1533-position model. The record is from RNAcentral.